UCACGAUAUUUGAGUCUGCAUGAUCCCUGAGCUCCUUCAACCAUUUUUGGACAUUGUCGUAGGACUCUGAAAGUUAAGAGAAGCUAUAGCAAGUUUUCCGAGUACUGUCACAGCGCAGUACCUGACUUGGUGAUGUCAUAGACAAGGAGUGCGCCAACUGCCCCUCUGUAGUACGCGCUCGUUAUGGCCCUAUACCUUUCUUGGCCAGCUGUGUCCCAUAUUUGUGCUUUGACCGUUUUGCCUUCCAACUGCAGGAACGAACUUUCAUGGCACUUAGAAAGUUUGCUUAAUUAACGCAUACCUCGAUGCAUCGCGUUGCGAACUCUACGCCGAUGGUUGACUUCGACUCCGAGCAGAAUUCAUUUCGCGUAAAGCGUGACAGCAAAUUGGACUUUCCGAC
RNAcentral lists this long non-coding RNA (400 nucleotides) under Micromonas commoda. Its description in RNAcentral is "long non-coding RNA (MCOM_LNC000023)". The record is from RNAcentral. Lineage: Eukaryota; Viridiplantae; Chlorophyta; Mamiellophyceae; Mamiellales; Mamiellaceae.